AACGGACGAGAAGCUUGCUUCUCUGAUGUUAGCGGCGGACGGGUGAGUAACACGUGGAUAACCUACCUAUAAGACUGGGAUAACUUCGGGAAACCGGAGCUAAUACCGGAUAAUAUUUUGAACCGCAUGGUUCAAAAGUGAAAGACGGUCUUGCUGUCACUUAUAGAUGGAUCCGCGCUGCAUUAGCUAGUUGGUAAGGUAACGGCUUACCAAGGCAACGAUGCAUAGCCGACCUGAGAGGGUGAUCGGCCACACUGGAACUGAGACACGGUCCAGACUCCUACGGGAGGCAGCAGUAGGGAAUCUUCCGCAAUGGGCGAAAGCCUGACGGAGCAACGCCGCGUGAGUGAUGAAGGUCUUCGGAUCGUAAAACUCUGUUAUUAGGGAAGAACAUAUGUGUAAGUAACUGUGCACAUCUUGACGGUACCUAAUCAGAAAGCCACGGCUAACUACGUGCCAGCAGCCGCGGUAAUACGUAGGUGGCAAGCGUUAUCCGGAAUUAUUGGGCGUAAAGCGCGCGUAGGCGGUUUUUUAAGUCUGAUGUGAAAGCCCACGGCUCAACCGUGGAGGGUCAUUGGAAACUGGAAAACUUGAGUGCAGAAGAGGAAAGUGGAAUUCCAUGUGUAGCGGUGAAAUGCGCAGAGAUAUGGAGGAACACCAGUGGCGAAGGCGACUUUCUGGUCUGUAACUGACGCUGAUGUGCGAAAGCGUGGGGAUCAAACAGGAUUAGAUACCCUGGUAGUCCACGCCGUAAACGAUGAGUGCUAAGUGUUAGGGGGUUUCCGCCCCUUAGUGCUGCAGCUAACGCAUUAAGCACUCCGCCUGGGGAGUACGACCGCAAGGUUGAAACUCAAAGGAAUUGACGGGGACCCGCACAAGCGGUGGAGCAUGUGGUUUAAUUCGAAGCAACGCGAAGAACCUUACCAAAUCUUGACAUCC
This 939-nucleotide ribosomal RNA is filed under the name Staphylococcus aureus. Its description in RNAcentral is "bacterial SSU rRNA". It matches the Rfam family "Bacterial small subunit ribosomal RNA", at positions 65 to 989 of the family's 1533-position model. The record is from RNAcentral. Lineage: Bacteria; Bacillati; Bacillota; Bacilli; Caryophanales; Staphylococcaceae.